GAAACCUUGCAGACUUUAUUAUUAUUAACAAACUGUCCAAUUUUCAUCUGUACAGAACAACAAAGAGAAACCAAAAAAAAAAAGACAAAAGAAAAUAAAAGUGGACAGGGAGAAAUAAACCAGAAGCUCCAUGGAUUCAGACACAAAACAUUGUUUUACAAAAAAAGAUCCGUUUCAUUUCAGCGACAAACUUAAAAGUCAAACGUUCGAGUCGUCAUCACUCUGGACCACGAAAAACAGCGAGGAACCGACCCGAGAUCGCAAGGUCUGUAAUCUGUGGGCAACACACACACGCACACACACACACACACAUCAUUCAUCACACACAUCACACACACACACACACACACACACACACACACUUGCCCACAUGCUCCUCUGCUGGGUGCUGCAGGGGAUUCUGGGAUGUUCUGUACAGUGGGGAUCCCUCGGUGGGACGGUGAGUAGGCACGCUUUGAUAAAACCCAACGUCAAGAUGGAAAAAAAAAAACAAAAGAAAAAAAAACAAAAGAGAGAGAAGGCAGUUCAACGAAUCAGAACGUCUCAUUUACAAGCAGGGAGGGCAGCGUCACCACACCAAGCUUCAACAAUUAGACAAAAAAAAAUCAAAAUCAAAUAAAACAAACAGUAAAGGCUAACUGCACGGUAACGUAGUUUACAGUAUGUAGUCACUCAGUAUAGUACACAUGUACACAUGAUCGGCUCGAGCUGGGAGAGGAGAGCUGCUCGCUUUCACGUCUUAUGACCUUUUUUUUUUUUUUUUCUCAAAGCAGGAUUUUAAAGUCUUCGCACCGAGACCAAAAAGCUCGACGACGCUAACUAUCUGACGUACGACUAAAACCACAAACAAAAACCACAAUCGCCUUCUUCUUCUACUUCCGGCAUUAACCUGCAAGGCUGAGCUCGAUCCAGAUUCAUUCAGCAACAGUUUCUUUAACACUUCUCAAUUGCGUAAAAUCUGAUAAUUGUGCGAUCGAGGACGAGUUUGAAUGCAGAAGUUGUGUUUUCAGUCUGGAACCUGAGUGUGAAGAUGAAGAGGACCACUUGAACUUCAACUAUUUUCCUUUUGCGUGACAACUGAUAUUUGAUUUUUUUUUUUUUAAAAGCAUCCUGUGUGACAUUAAACUCUCAGUAUGCUUCAAACAAAGCUGCUCAUUAGAUUUGCUGACAGCGUCGGAGGAAAAGAGGAGUUUCUGUACAAAAGUAGCAGAAUCGUGUAUUUACGCAACAGCAGUUUUUAGACGCUAUCAGCAGGUACGAAGCGACUCCUAAACAACCAAUCGCACCGACAUUACGCCAUUAGCCGGUACAAAGUAGUCCCCAAACAGACAAUCACUUAAGACUUUACAGAAAGGUGGUUUGUGACACUUCAGUACAAGAAACCAGAUCAUUAUUUAGCUUUCCAGAAAUGUUUCAGACGUGUUAAGGAAAGGUGGUUUCAGUAUAAAGGGGUUUACAAACAGCCAAUCACACUGACAUUACACCAAAAGAGGCUUCCUACGUCGUUAGCCGGUACAAAGCAGUCCUGAAACCAACAAUCAAUCUGACUUCACACAAAAGGUGAUUUCUGAUGCUUUUAGGGCGGUUCAAGAAAACCAGAUCGUCAAUUUGGCUUUUCGGAAAGGUUUGAGAGACAUUAAGAAAAGAUGGUCUCGGACGUGUUCGGGAAAGGUGGUUUCAGUAAACUUUACAAAAAGGUGGUUUUAGACGCUUUUACAGAAAACCAGACCGUCACUUCAGCUUUUUGGAAAGGUUCGGACACGUUAAGGAAAGAUGGUUAAAGACACGCUCUAAGGAAAGGUGGUUUCGGAGACUUUGUCUGUAAAGGUAGAAAAGCUACAGACAGGUGGUUCCAAACGUGGUUUAAGGAAAGGUGGUUUCAGUAAACUUUACAAAAAGGUGGUUUCAGACGCUUUUACAGGGCGGUUCAAGAAAACCAGACCGUCACUUCAGCUUUUUGGAAAGGUUCGGACACGUUAAGGAAAGAUGGUUAAAGACACACUCUCAAGAUGGUUUCGGAGACUUUUUCUGUAAAAGGUAGAAAAGUUAUGGA
This is a long non-coding RNA of Scomber japonicus (chub mackerel), 2053 nucleotides long. RefSeq lists it as uncharacterized. The transcript has 3 exons. The record is from RefSeq and is a predicted model, not a curated record. NCBI's taxonomy places the organism in Eukaryota, Metazoa, Chordata, Actinopteri, Scombriformes, Scombridae.